UAAGCGGAGGAAAAGAAACCAACAGGGAUUGCCUUAGUAGCGGCGAGUGAAGCGGCAAAAGCUCAAAUUUGAAAUCUGGCGCCUUCGGUGUCCGAGUUGUAAUUUGAAGAUUGUAACCUUGGGGUUGGCUCUUGUCUAUGUUUCUUGGAACAGGACGUCACAGAGGGUGAGAAUCCCGUGCGAUGAGAUGCCCAAUUCUAUGUAAGGUGCUUUCGAAGAGUCGAGUUGUUUGGGAAUGCAGCUCUAAGUGGGUGGUAAAUUCCAUCUAAAGCUAAAUAUUGGCGAGAGACCGAUAGCGAACAAGUACAGUGAUGGAAAGAUGAAAAGAACUUUGAAAAGAGAGUGAAAAAGUACGUGAAAUUGUUGAAAGGGAAGGGUUUGAGAUCAGACUCGAUAUUUUGUGAGCCUUGCCUUCGUGGCGGGGUGACCCGCAGCUUAUCGGGCCAGCAUCGGUUUGGGCGGUAGGAUAAUGGCGUAGGAAUGUGACUUUACUUCGGUGAAGUGUUAUAGCCUGCGUUGAUGCUGCCUGCCUAGACCGAGGACUGCGAUUUUAUCAAGGAUGCUGGCAUAAUGAUCCCAAACCGCCCGUCUUGAAACACCGGGACCA
Molecule: ribosomal RNA, 607 nt
Filed under: Meyerozyma guilliermondii
Lineage: Eukaryota; Fungi; Ascomycota; Pichiomycetes; Serinales; Debaryomycetaceae
Description: eukaryotic LSU rRNA
Rfam family: Eukaryotic large subunit ribosomal RNA
Source: RNAcentral